This 253-nucleotide ribosomal RNA is filed under the name uncultured bacterium. Its description in RNAcentral is "partial 16S ribosomal RNA". It matches the Rfam family "Bacterial small subunit ribosomal RNA", at positions 524 to 776 of the family's 1533-position model. The record is from RNAcentral.
UACGUAGGGAGCAAGCGUUGUCCGGAAUCAUUGGGCGUAAAGCGCGCGUAGGCGGCCUCGUAAGUCCGUUGUGAAAGUCAAAGGCUCAACCUUUGAAAGCCGAUGGAUACUGUGAGGCUAGAGUCCGGAAGAGGCGAGUGGAAUUCCUGGUGUAGCGGUGAAAUGCGCAGAUAUCAGGAGGAACACCAAUGGCGAAGGCAGCUCGCUGGGACGGUACUGACGCUGAGACGCGAAAGCGUGGGGAGCAAACAGG